AUCAUCAUGAAGGUCCUUCUCCUGUUACUCUUCGUCAUUGGAUUGGCAGCAGCUGAUGCCUGGCCUGGGAGGAUAUAUAGAAGUGCUGAUCCCGGGCUCAAGGCACGUGAAGCAUAUCUUGGAGUGGAUUAUAUAAAGCUCAAGGCACGUGAAGCGUCUCCUGGACGUGCCGCGCGAGCUGUGUGCCUUAUUGGAGCAAUACCAUACCAGUGUUGACAGAAGACGCCAUGAAGGGUGACGAGCGACAAUAAAAGCACCUGGUAAUAAAGCUCGAAAUGAC
Ornithodoros turicata is the source of this 280-nucleotide long non-coding RNA. RefSeq lists it as uncharacterized. The transcript has 6 exons. Lineage: Eukaryota; Metazoa; Arthropoda; Arachnida; Ixodida; Argasidae. The record is from RefSeq and is a predicted model, not a curated record.